GAGUUUGAUCCUGGCUCAGGACGAACGCUGGCGGCGUGCUUAACACAUGCAAGUCGAGCGGUAAGGCCCUUUCGGGGGUACACGAGCGGCGAACGGGUGAGUAACACGUGGGUAACCUGCCCUCAGCUCUGGGAUAAGCCCGGGAAACUGGGUCUAAUACCGGAUAUGACUCCGCAUCGCAUGGUGUGGGGUGGAAAGCCUUGUGCGGCUGAGGAUGGGCCCGCGGCCUAUCAGCUUGUUGGUGGGGUAGUGGCCUACCAAGGCGACGACGGGUAGCCGGCCUGAGAGGGCGACCGGCCACACUGGGACUGAGACACGGCCCAGACUCCUACGGGAGGCAGCAGUGGGGAAUAUUGCGCAAUGGGCGAAAGCCUGACGCAGCGACGCCGCGUGAGGGAUGACGGCCUUCGGGUUGUAAACCUCUUUCAGCUCCGACGAAGCCUUCGGGUGACGGUAGGGGCAGAAGAAGCACCGGCCAACUACGUGCCAGCAGCCGCGGUAAUACGUAGGGUGCAAGCGUUGUCCGGAAUUAUUGGGCGUAAAGAGCUCGUAGGCGGUUUGUCGCGUCGACUGUGAAAACUCAGGGGCUCAACUCCGAGCUUGCAGUUGAUACGGGCAGACUAGAGUUCGGCAGGGGAGACUGGAAUUCCUGGUGUAGCGGUGAAAUGCGCAGAUAUCAGGAGGAACACCGGUGGCGAAGGCGGGUCUCUGGGCCGAUACUGACGCUGAGGAGCGAAAGCGUGGGGAGCGAACAGGAUUAGAUACCCUGGGUAGUCCACGCCGUAAACGUUGGGCGCUAGGUGUGGGGUCCCUUCACGGGUUCCGUGCCGCAGCUAACGCAUUAAGCGCCCCGCC
RNAcentral lists this ribosomal RNA (855 nucleotides) under uncultured bacterium. Its description in RNAcentral is "bacterial SSU rRNA". It matches the Rfam family "Bacterial small subunit ribosomal RNA", at positions 9 to 873 of the family's 1533-position model. The record is from RNAcentral.